GGUGAGACACCUCACUCUGUUACCAGAGAACCAGGGGUCACGCCAAGGCGGUCCCCACAGUGAGACACCUCACUCUGUUACCAGAGAACCAGGGGUCACGCCAAGGCGGUCCCCACAGUGAGACACCUCACUCUGUUACCAGAGAACCAGGGGUCACGUCAAGGCGGUCCCCACGGUGAGACACCUCACUCUGUUACCAGAGAACCAGGGGUCACGCCAAGGCGGUCCCCACAGUGAGACACCUCACUCUGUUACCAGAGAACCAGGGUUCACGUAAAGGAACCCAAAGGUAACACCGUCUGAAGGCUUUCCUAUAGGUUCACUGAAGGAAAGCCUAUGGUGACCCCUAUAGGAGAGCUAUGGAAGGACCUCAACCUCCCCAUAAACAGCCUCAUCCCCCUGGACUCACUCUGUCCACGAUAAUUACAGUGUUUCACACUUUAAUUAUCUUUAAUUUAUCUGUUUAUGGAAUAUGCUGUAAUUUUUCAUAAUAUCACACAUUUGACUUUUUAUGGCAUAAUAACUGACAUGUAUAUAUACAUUUUGUGUUCAAUCUUUUCUACUUAUAUUAUAAACCUGACCUUUUUAGAGAGAGAGAGAGAGAGAGAGAGAGAGAGAGAGACUCAUUCACCGCGUCUCUCCCCUCUGAUCGUGAAUGCGAGUUUCUAGUUGUUACGUUAAUCUCACCCCACCCUGGAACGCUUAUUUUGUUGCGUCUACAGACUAGACCCCUCGGUCAUCCGUCGACGGACGGAGGUAGUGUGAAUGCGCCCUGGCCUGAAUACGCGCGGACCAUGGACCUCUAAAGACCGUUUGGAAUGCGCCCGGACCGUUUUGAGUACACCAUCCGGGUCCUUUCAGUGCACUGCUUUCCCCCGAUCGUAAUUGGAACGCCCUAAUCAAACUAAGUAUAUCUGUUUGUGUUGCAAUGGCCAUGAGACAUACCAUUGACCGCCAGCAUCCCAGCUACAAAGAGGGGAAACGUAAAUUGCUUGAAAGUAAACAAGACCACCUUAUAGCUGAAGCUGAGAGAGCCGUUGAGGAGAGGAAACGUGCGCGUUCUGGUGGAGGACCUCCAUGUGGCUCCACUAGUGACGGUGCAAGACGAGGCAAGCCGAGGGGGAGGCGUGGAGGGCGACGCGGAGGGCGACGCGGAGGGCGACGCAAAGCCUCAGCCACAGUCACGUUCCCCCCAGCUGAGUGCUCCCCGUCAUCCCAUGAGGACGUUCCGCUUACUGUACCUUCAGCGCAACUGAAUCCUCAAGAGGCAUUUGAAAAGUUUGUGGAGAGGCUUUCAUCUCUAAAUGCCUCUGGUCCUUCUGCCAAGCCUCAAAGAAGCUCUGCAUCUUCAUGGACUUUUCGGCAGCAGAAAGCCUCAGAGCGCUGGACAGAAGCACGACCAAACCACCUACAAGGCCUCAUUGAAAAGGAGGCUGUUGGUCAUCCCUUGUGUUGCCUCUGCCCCAAGCCGGCUGUUAUUAGGUGCAGAGAGUGUCUCCCUGAAGAGUGGUUCUGUGGGGACUGCGAUGUACUGCAUCACAAAAAACAGCCACUCCACAACAGGGAAUGUCUGAUACGUGGGUUCUUUGAACCCAUUCCUCCAACCACACGCGUCAUGAAAGGGGAGGAUGGAUAUUUCACUCAGGAGCAAGCUUGCAUCUUGCCAACUGUGAGUGUGUCAAACUGCGUCUGCGAUGGCACAACCUUCACUGUGUUACCAGGCAAACCAGUGAUUUUAAUUAACAUCAAUGGACGUUAUGACUUGCAUCAGCCACUGUAUGUAUGUCAGACGUGCCAGCAGCAGAGGACCCCUGACAUGAAGCACUUCCUUCAGAGUGGAUAUUGGCCAGCCUCUCUCAAUACUUCCACGUUGUACACGUUGGACCUCUUGAGCUCCUUUCAGGAACUGAAAGUAAUCUCUCCAGACGUGAUUCUCCAGACAGGCCUUCGCAAAGCUCCUGGAGCAUCGCACCAAGUGUGGAGGACGAGUUAG
RNAcentral lists this long non-coding RNA (1993 nucleotides) under Gadus morhua (Atlantic cod). Its description in RNAcentral is "lncRNA (ENSGMOG00000028007.1)". Lineage: Eukaryota; Metazoa; Chordata; Actinopteri; Gadiformes; Gadidae. The record is from RNAcentral.